This 796-nucleotide ribosomal RNA is filed under the name Pseudoophiobolus mathieui. Its description in RNAcentral is "partial large subunit ribosomal RNA". It matches the Rfam family "Eukaryotic large subunit ribosomal RNA", at positions 76 to 891 of the family's 3401-position model. The record is from RNAcentral. Lineage: Eukaryota; Fungi; Ascomycota; Dothideomycetes; Pleosporales; Phaeosphaeriaceae.
UGCCCUAGUAACGGCGAGUGAAGCGGCAACAGCUCAAAUUUGAAAUCUGGCUCUUUUAGGGUCCGAGUUGUAAUUUGCAGAGGGCGCUUUGGCGUUGGCAGCGGUCCAAGUUCUUUGGAACAGGACGUCACAGAGGGUGAGAAUCCCGUACGUGGUCGCUAUCCUUCGCCGUGUAAAGCCCCUUCGACGAGUCGAGUUGUUUGGGAAUGCAGCUCUAAAUGGGAGGUAAAUUUCUUCUAAAGCUAAAUAUUGGCCAGAGACCGAUAGCGCACAAGUAGAGUGAUCGAAAGAUGAAAAGCACUUUGGAAAGAGAGUCAAAUAGCACGUGAAAUUGUUGAAAGGGAAGCGCUUGCAGCCAGACUUGCCUGUAGUUGCUUAUCCGGACUUUUGUCCGGUGCACUCUUCUAUAGGCAGGCCAGCAUCAGUUUAGGCGGUUAGAUAAAGGUCUCUGUCACGUACCUCUCUUCGGGGAGGCCUUAUAGGGGAGACGACAUGUAACCAGCUUAGACUGAGGUCCGCGCAUCUGCUAGGAUGCUGGCGUAAUGGCUGUAAGCGGCCCGUCUUGAAACACGGACCAAGGAGUCUAACAUCUAUGCGAGUGUUUGGGUGUCAAGCCCAGACGCGUAAUGAAAGUGAACGGAGGUAGGAACCCUUUGGGUGCACUAUCGACCGAUCCUGAUGUCUUCGGAAGGAUUUGAGUAAGAGCAUGGCUGUUGGGACCCGAAAGAUGGUGAACUAUGCUUGAAUAGGGUGAAGCCAGAGGAAACUCUGGUGGAGGCUCGCAGCGGUUCUGACG